This 208-nucleotide ribosomal RNA is filed under the name uncultured bacterium. RNAcentral's name for it is "partial 16S ribosomal RNA". It matches the Rfam family "Bacterial small subunit ribosomal RNA", at positions 568 to 774 of the family's 1533-position model. The record is from RNAcentral.
CGCGUAGGCGGCAAGAAAAAGUCAGAUGUGAAAUUCCGGGGCUCAGCCCCGGAGCUGCAUUUGAAACUUUCUAGCUAGAGGUUGGUAAGGGAAAACGGAAUUCCACGUGUAGCGGUGAAAUGCGUAGAUAUGUGGAAGAACACCGGUGGUGAAGACGGUUUUCUGUGCCAAACCUGACGCUGAGGCGCGAAAGCUAGGGGAGCAAACA